This 489-nucleotide ribosomal RNA is filed under the name uncultured bacterium. RNAcentral's name for it is "bacterial SSU rRNA". It matches the Rfam family "Bacterial small subunit ribosomal RNA", at positions 47 to 507 of the family's 1533-position model. The record is from RNAcentral.
CCUAACACAUGCAAGUCGAACGGAGUUCUUAAGGAAUGCGACUUCGGUCAAAUGACUUUGAACUUAGUGGCGGACGGGUGAGUAAUGUGUGAGCAACCUGCCUUUCAGAGGGGGAUAACACAGUGAAAACUGUGCUAAUACCGCAUGAUAUGUAAUGUUCGCAUGAACGAUACAUCAAAGGAGCAAUCCGCUGAAAGAUGGGCUCACAUCUGAUUAGCUAGUUGGUGGGGGCAACGGCCUACCAAGGCGACGAUCAGUAGCCGGUCUGAGAGGAUGAACGGCCACAUUGGAACUGAGACACGGUCCAGACUCCUACGGGAGGCAGCAGUGGGGAAUCUUCCGCAAUGGGCGAAAGCCUGACGGAGCAAUGCCGCGUGAGUGAUGAAGGAAUUCGUUCCGUAAAGCUCUUUUGUUUAUGACGAAUGUGCAGACUGUGAAUAAUGGUUUGUAAUGACGGUAGUAAACGAAUAAGCCACGGCUAACUACGUG